This 493-nucleotide ribosomal RNA is filed under the name uncultured bacterium. RNAcentral's name for it is "bacterial SSU rRNA". It matches the Rfam family "Bacterial small subunit ribosomal RNA", at positions 18 to 507 of the family's 1533-position model. The record is from RNAcentral.
CAUGGCUCAGGAUUAACGCUGGCGGUAUGCCUAACACAUGCAAGUCGAACGGAAUACUAAUUAAGAGAAUCUCACACUAGUGAGAGGUUCUCACGAGUAGUAUUUAGUGGCGGACGGGUGAGUAACACGUUGGAACCUGCCCCGAAGUGGGGAAUAACUGCUCGAAAGAGUAGCUAAUACCCCAUAGUAUCCGGUUUAUCCGGAUUAAAGAUUUAUCGCUUUGGGAGGGGCCUGCGUCUGAUUAGCUAGUUGGUGAGGUAAAAGCUCACCAAGGCGACGAUCAGUAGCUGGUUCGAGAGGAUGACCAGCCACACUGGGACUGAGAUACGGCCCAGACUCCUACGGGAGGCAGCCAGUGAGGGAAUCUUCCACAAUGGGCGCAAGCCCUGAUGGAGCAAUACCGCGUGCAGGAAGACGCUUUUCGGAGUGUAAACUGCUUUUGUCGUCGAAGAUUAUGACUGUAGACGAAGAAUAAGGACCGGCUAACUACGUG